GACGAACGCUGGCGGCGUGCCUAAUACAUGCAAGUCGAACGCUGAAGGAGGAGCUUGCUUCUCUGGAUGAGUUGCGAACGGGUGAGUAACGCGUAGGUAACCUGCCUGGUAGCGGGGGAUAACUAUUGGAAACGAUAGCUAAUACCGCAUAAUAGUAGAUGUUGCAUGACAUUUGCUUAAAAGUUGCAAUUGCAUCACUACCAGAUGGACCUGCGUUGUAUUAGCUAGUUGGUGGGGUAACGGCUCACCAAGGCGACGAUACAUAGCCGACCUGAGAGGGUGAUCGGCCACACUGGGACUGAGACACGGCCCAGACUCCUACGGGAGGCAGCAGUAGGGAAUCUUCGGCAAUGGACGGAAGUCUGACCGAGCAACGCCGCGUGAGUGAAGAAGGUUUUCGGAUCGUAAAGCUCUGUUGUAAGAGAAGAACGAGUGUGAGAGUGGAAAGUUCACACUGUGACGGUAUCUUACCAGAAAGGGACGGCUAACUACGUG
RNAcentral lists this ribosomal RNA (495 nucleotides) under uncultured bacterium. RNAcentral's name for it is "partial 16S ribosomal RNA". It matches the Rfam family "Bacterial small subunit ribosomal RNA", at positions 28 to 507 of the family's 1533-position model. The record is from RNAcentral.